UGCAAGUGGUGCAGGUAAUAUAGCACAGUUCCAAUUCAUCAAAGUCCCUCAAAAUCUAGAGAAGUCCGCUGACGUGAAUAUAGGGCAAAACAAUCUCUCAAUUCCUGAAUUACUGGAGAUGGAUCCAGGUGAAUUAAAAUGACAUAAUGAAUGUCAAAAUUUGGCGGAUGAAAUCUCUUAGCAGUUUCCUGGUUUGGGGGUGUUGGAAGAGUAGAUCCAAACGAGGGUGGCGACGGCUACUCGCGGUGAAUAAUUUUGGCAUUCACCACUUUUUUAUUUUAUUUAGCCUAAUAAUAAACUAUGAAGUACAGAUGCCAUUGAAUUUCACCUUUAAACUGCUGCCUUUAUUUCAGUGUGGGUUAAUGGUGAAGAUGUAUUGUGUAUUUUGGAUUAAUAGGUAUGUUUAUGGUUUUGAAGUGAGGGUUUGUUGGUGGUGGGAGAGGUGGAAACAGUUGGUUGAGGGGGAUCGAAUUUUAUAAAAUCUAUCGAUCAGAAGAAACGAUUUGAACUCUGUUAUCAAAUUGACACAAUUAAAAGAGAAAGAGAAAGAGAAAGGGUAAGGUAAA
This 566-nucleotide long non-coding RNA is filed under the name Olea europaea (common olive). Its description in RNAcentral is "long non-coding RNA (OEUR_LNC005136)". Lineage: Eukaryota; Viridiplantae; Streptophyta; Magnoliopsida; Lamiales; Oleaceae. The record is from RNAcentral.